CUUCCGAGUAACAAAAAAAAAACACAACACAAAUGCAGCAUUGACAGGAACAAUGGCUGGAACAUAUCUAGUCUUCAACAGAACAUCACCAGCAGUAUGAGUAGCAGAUCUACAAGGAAGUCCAAGUUGAAACAAUGACGUCAUCUACACACGAGAAAUCAAGAAAAUUGUAGCGUUUGUUUGUCAGCUGUGCGCGCCCCCCCCCCCCCACUCCCGCGAGAGAUGGCGCAUUCCUUAAUUGAAAUGUGGCCCAUGUUGGUAACAACGAUCACAAUGCAAUAUAUAAUUAUAAUCUUAAUGAUGCCCCUGAUCAAUUCAGAAUUCUACGACUAUUACUACCGGCUGUAUUAUUUCAGAGUCAAGAGGUUGCUGACCGCGCCCCUUGAAACCAUUUACAGGUCUUGUUUGUUUGCCCGCUUCUUGAUUCUCAGGAUGGUGGACCUGAUGUCUACACGGAAGAUGCUUUUGAGUUUACUUUGCUAUUUGGUCUUCUACGUCCUGCUGAUUGUUCUUCUGGUCGGACUUAUUGCCCCUUUUAAAUACCUGCCGACAUCUCUAUAAACACUGGCGUUUGACUAGACCAAUGGUGCUUCAGAAAUUACGUAUUGGCCUUGAUAUAGAGCAAGAAUUUGUUGAACCAAAGAUUAUCUACUCGCCUUUGAUUGGACCAAAAAGACCAAUCGACAUUAAAUUUACCAAGGUGAACUGAUGGAAAUAAUGCAAAGUAACAAAGACUCAAUGUCUUCAAAGAUUUUCGAAAGUUAGACAAUUGUCUCUAUAAUACAUAACGAUACUACCGUACUAUUGCCUCAGUUAUUGCCCUUGUGUUCAGCCAUGAUUGAUGUGAUAAGAUGAGAACGAAAUAAUAUAUAUAUUUUUUUCUGUUAGUUGUGAAAUGUUUGUAAUAAUAAACUUUAGAAAAUUCUUUAUUAAUUUUACAUAAACUAUGCCAAAAAGAUAUUUAAAAACUAUAUGUAAUGCCAAAUCUAAUUUUUCUUUUAAUUUAUAAGAAUGAUACAAAUUUAAAAUACUUAGUAUAUAACAACCCUA
Biomphalaria glabrata is the source of this 1050-nucleotide long non-coding RNA. RefSeq lists it as uncharacterized. The transcript has 4 exons. The record is from RefSeq and is a predicted model, not a curated record. Lineage: Eukaryota; Metazoa; Mollusca; Gastropoda; Planorbidae.